GAUGAACGCUGGCGGCGUGCCUAAUACAUGCAAGUCGAGCGAACCGACGAGAAGCUUGUUUCUCUGAUGUUAGCGGCGGACGGGUGAGUAACACGUGGAUAACCUACCUAUAAGACUGGGAUAACUUCGGGAAACCGGAGCUAAUACCGGAUAAUAUUUUGAACCGCAUGGUUCAAAAGUAAAAGACGGUCUUGCUGUCACUUAUAGAUGGAUCCGCGCUGCAUUAGCUAGUUGGUAAGGUAACGGCUUACCAAGGCAACGAUGCAUAGCCGACCUGAGAGGGUGAUCGGCCACACUGGAACUGAGACACGGUCCAGACUCCUACGGGAGGCAGCAGUAGGGAAUCUUCCGCAAUGGGCGAAAGCCUGACGGAGCAACGCCGCGUGAGUGAUGAAGGUCUUCGGAUCGUAAAACUCUGUUAUUAGGGAAGAACAUAUGUGUAAGUAACUGUGCACAUCUUGACGGUACCUAAUCAGAAAGCCACGGCUAACUACGUG
This 497-nucleotide ribosomal RNA is filed under the name uncultured bacterium. RNAcentral's name for it is "partial 16S ribosomal RNA". It matches the Rfam family "Bacterial small subunit ribosomal RNA", at positions 28 to 507 of the family's 1533-position model. The record is from RNAcentral.